GGAGGAUAUAUCGUACCCGGUGGCACGACUGAACUUCAAAUUCAGCAAGGGAAUUUUAAAGCUUUCCUAGGUAGGUUCGACUCCUGCUAUCCUCCGCCA
This 99-nucleotide transfer RNA is filed under the name Bordetella sp. Its description in RNAcentral is "tRNA-Sec". It matches the Rfam family "Selenocysteine transfer RNA". The record is from RNAcentral. Lineage: Bacteria; Pseudomonadati; Pseudomonadota; Betaproteobacteria; Burkholderiales; Alcaligenaceae.